ACAAAGAACCAACUUAUGUCCCACACUUCAUAACUUAUAUGAUUUGUUAUUACAUUUGGAGUCACUUCCGUAUUUUCACAUGUGCAUCGUCUAGUGGAGACCUAAACAUACUAUAAAGAAAAUUAACUUAGAUAUCUACACCUAUGUAAAUGGAAGAAUAUUUUAAGGUGGUUUAAUAUAUAUACAUAUAUAUAUAUGUAAAUUAUAUUUAUACAUAAAUGGAAUAGUAUUUUGGCAUGGAUUGUUAAUAUUAUGUAUAUGUAAGUAAAUGAGUAAGUACUGUUGUGUGAGUAGCAGUGAGAGUUACUUGGAAGAAGGAGUUAAAGAGUAAAUUGAAAGAAGAAAGUGGAAAGUUCCAUUUUGGGAAAUGGGAAGCAGGAGGUGGUAUUAAACACUUUGAGUUUUGUCCUUGCAAGAUAACAAGUUGCCAUUGCUUUUGACAUCUCAUGUGGACAUUUGUCAUGGAAUUGAUUAAUUCCAUAUAUCUCCCAUUCUUUAAAAUAGAUCCGAAUUAGCAUAACUCUCAUUCUAUUCAGAUCUUUCUCUAUUCCCUCUGCCCUUCAUGGUUAAUACCUCUUACUGCUUGAGUUUUGCCAAGUCGAUCCAAGCAAGGAUGAAAUUUUAGAGAAUUUUGCUUAUUUGAGGUCUGGAGCUGUAUGAAGGUCUUAAUUCAACUUUUGAAGGAAGGUAAGCAUUGAAUUGCAAGAUUAUACUUUUAUUAGAGAUAUCUUGGUUUAUAAAAUUGUUCUAGCACUUUUUGCUUCAGGAAUUGUAAGUUUAGAUACAGAAUUUACUUUGAUGUGAGGUUUGUUGCAUCUGUUUAGUAGACUUAAUAAGCUUUUAUUAGCCUUUUAAAUCACUUGGAUUGAAGAAAUCAUGUUCCUGGACAGUACAAAUCACUUGGAAGUUAUGACUUGGUUUAAGGUCUUAAAGGUGUUUAAAUAGGCUAAAAUUUAGUAUUUGUUUAAUUUAAUAAGUUAACUUAUGAACUGGAAAAGUUAAAACUUUGUUGGGGUUUUAUAAAUUGAGUUGUGGAAAUGAUUCAAAGUAUUUAGGAUUCUCUUUUAGACUUGAAAUUUUGCAGAAACUUACUUUUUUAUGUUUAUUUUAUUUACAAAAAAUUUAAGGUCAAUAUCCUUUGUCAAAUUGUGGAAGUCGUACUAUAAAGGUUCAAUAAGGUUUUUUAAAAAAAAAAAAAAGAAAAAAAAAACAUAUUUUUGUGUUUAAUAUUUAGUAAUAGUUAAGUUUCAAUUUUUUUGUUUAUUCAAGAGUUUUAAGUAUUUAGUAGGUAUACGGAUUUAUAUUAUCUUUUAUUUUAUAAAGACUUGUUGAGAAUUGCAAAAUUUAAUGUAAUAAGCUACAAGGUUGCAUAUUUCCAAGUACGCAAACUUGCACUUGAAAUCACAAUUGUACGUGUCUGUGUGAUGCUAUUAGAUGAGUUUGUGAUAAGCUACUAUGUCCUGGGAUCUUCUUUAUGAUAAGAUCAAUGUGAUUGCUAAACAUAUUGAUGAGAAGAUACACAGGCAUGCAUUGGACCAAAAGCAUUCAUGAACUUGACAUACACAUGGAAAGAGAUUUUAUACAUAAAAAAUUACUAGUCUUUUGAAAAUCAUGUGAUGAUCGCCAGUGCACAAGACAUGAUUGCAGACCCAGUAGAGAUGUUGACUAGCAACUUCAUCUACUGCAAUGAUGGAGAUAAGAACACAAAAGAAUUUUUCCGUAAUGGGUUGUUCUAGAUAUCUUAGAGUUGAAAGAUACCGAUAAUAUAUAUAUUGCUUUAGAUCUAUGACGGUCUAGAAACAAAGUUUUUAGUUAUAAAGUUUACGAAAGAUUAUAUAACUAGAUGAUUUUGACGAGUAUACCAAACUUGAGUAGGAAAAAGAAAAAUAGUUGAUGCAUAAUUUUAAAACAGAGAAAAACAUGAUUUUGUUACAUAUAUGCAUUUCAAAUGCAUUGCAUCACAUAGUUUACUUACUAAGCUUUCAGUUCAGAAUAUUUCAGGAUACUUGCGUUGUAAUUGCAUCACAUAGUUUACUUACUAAGCUUUUAGUUCAGAAUAUUUCAGAAUACUUGCGUUGUAAUUGCAUCACAUAGUUUACUUACUAAGCUUUUAAGUCAGAAUAUUUCAGAAUACUUGCGUUGUAAUUGCAUAACCUCAUAUAGUAGGAGGUUAGCUGAAAAUACGUGCAAAGUUAGCAUCCAGUCAAGCCCACCAAAAGGUUUUCCUAACCUACAACUUUCAAAAAGAUUGUCGCAUUUGUAAAUAACGUAUAGUAGUAAAUUUUUGUUAGGCCUUGUUUUUGAAACUAUUACUACCCUGCAAUAUUGUAGAAACCUAUGUAAUAUAAUUUAGUUUUAUAAGUCUA
Molecule: long non-coding RNA, 2366 nt
Organism: Ziziphus jujuba (common jujube)
Lineage: Eukaryota; Viridiplantae; Streptophyta; Magnoliopsida; Rosales; Rhamnaceae
Exons: 2
Source: RefSeq, a predicted model, not a curated record